RNAcentral lists this ribosomal RNA (377 nucleotides) under uncultured bacterium. RNAcentral's name for it is "bacterial SSU rRNA". It matches the Rfam family "Bacterial small subunit ribosomal RNA", at positions 524 to 898 of the family's 1533-position model. The record is from RNAcentral.
GACGGAGGGUGCAAACGUUGUUCGGAUUCACUGGGCAUAAAGCGCACGUAGGCGGCUCGUUUAGUCAGUUGUGAAAUCCCCCGGCUCAACCGGGGAAUGGCAUCUGAUACUGGCGGGCUCGAGGUCGGUAGGGGUGAGCGGAACUCCAGGUGGAGCGGUGAAAUGCGUAGAUAUCUGGAGGAACACCGGUGGCGAAAGCGGCUCACUAGGCCGACUCUGACGCUAAGGUGCGAAAGCUAGGGUAGCAAACGGGAUUAGAUACCCCGGUAGUCCUAGCCGUAAACGAUGGGAACUAGGUAGGGGGGUUGCCUAUGAACCUCUCUGCCGGAGCUAAUGUGUUAAGUUCCCCGCCUGGGGAGUACGCUCGCAAGGGUAAA